RNAcentral lists this long non-coding RNA (1228 nucleotides) under Homo sapiens (human). Its description in RNAcentral is "HSALNT0239431". The record is from RNAcentral. Lineage: Eukaryota; Metazoa; Chordata; Mammalia; Primates; Hominidae.
AGAUAUUGAGAUUUUCGGUUCUGUUUUCAGAGGCAGAAGAAAAUUCGUGAAGAUCAUAAAUCCUACUAUGCGAUUAACACUGUUUAUGUAUAUGGACAAGAGAAAUACUUGUUGUUGCAUGAUAUCUCAGAAUCGGAAUUUCUAACUGAAGCUGAAAUCAUUUGUGAUGUUGUAUGCCUGGUAUAUGAUGUCAGCAAUCCCAAAUCCUUUGAAUACUGUGCCAGGAUUUUUAAGCAACACUUUAUGGACAGCAGAAUACCUUGCUUAAUCGUAGCUGCAAAGUCAGACCUGCAUGAAGUUAAACAAGAAUACAGUAUUUCACCUACUGAUUUCUGCAGGAAACACAAAAUGCCUCCACCACAAGCCUUCACUUGCAAUACUGCUGAUGCCCCCAGUAAGGAUAUCUUUGUUAAAUUGACAACAAUGGCCAUGUAUCCAGAGGAUCAUUACAGAGACAGACUCUCCCGAGACAUGGGCCACACUGAUAGAAUAGAGAAUUUGAGAAAAAUCUGGGUCUUUCUAAAAACUGCUUUCCAUGCCCGGUUACGCUGUAUGUGCACCUGCAACAGGUGUACAUUUUGCAUCUGUCAGAACUUCCUCAACUCAGACUUGCUGCAAUCUGUAAAGAACAAAAUCUUCACUGCAGUUCUUAACAGGUGCAUGCUGUCAGCUCUGUAGAAGAUUCCAUCUUCAUGGAGUCAUCUCAUGGUCCACUUUUUCUUGAAGCCAGGCACGUGACACAAGCUGACCUCAAGAGCUCCACGUUUUGGCUUCGAGCAAGUUUUGGUGCUACUGUUUUUGCAGUUUUGGGCUUUGCUAUGUACAAAGCAUUAUUGAAACAGCGAUGAUAUAAAAAGAAAUACUGUCCCUACCAAAAACAAAUACUUUUAUGUACAUUCUGAAUGCUUUAAGUUCUGCUAGAAUUAUUGAGAUAUUUAUACAUGCAGAGUUACUUUAUUAAUAUUUGUAAUUCAUGCAUAAGAGUAUUUUAAUGAUAGUUAUAACUGCAGUAUUGGCUAGCAUAUGGAAAGAAAACAGCUAACAGCCAAACUAAAAUGGCUAAAUUCCAGAGGCCAAAAGGGAAUAUUUUGUAAAUAUAUGUACAUAUUCAGGCAAGAUAUGGUCUCCCAAGCUGAGUUCUAGAAAUGAUGUUUCUAGACAUUUCUAAGUGGUAUUGUUAGUGCUCACUUGGCUCACUCUUCUAGGUUUAAGUUAGCCCAGAGAUUGU